This 253-nucleotide ribosomal RNA is filed under the name uncultured bacterium. RNAcentral describes it as "partial 16S ribosomal RNA". It matches the Rfam family "Archaeal small subunit ribosomal RNA", at positions 474 to 727 of the family's 1478-position model. The record is from RNAcentral.
UACCCGCAGCUCAAGUGGUGGACAUUAUUAUUGGGCCUAAAGCGUCCGUAGCUGGCUUGUUAGAUGCCUGGGUAAAUCGAUGCGCUUAACGCAUCGAAUUCCGGGUAGACCGGCAAGCUCGAGACCGGGAGAGGCGUGAGCUACUCAAGGGGUAGGGGUAAAAUCCUGUAAUCCUUUGGGGAGGACCAGUGGCGAAGGCGUCACGCUAGAACGGCUCUGACAGUGAGGGACGAAGCCCUGGGGCGCAAACCGG